Molecule: transfer RNA, 85 nt
Filed under: Candidatus Buchananbacteria bacterium RIFCSPHIGHO2_01_FULL_40_35
Lineage: Bacteria; Candidatus Buchananiibacteriota
Also listed under: 2 other names
Description: tRNA-Leu
Rfam family: tRNA
About the family: Transfer RNA (tRNA) molecules are approximately 80 nucleotides in length. Their secondary structure includes four short double-helical elements and three loops (D, anti-codon, and T loops).
Source: RNAcentral
GCGGACGUGGCGGAAUUUGGUAUACGCGCAGCCUUGAGGUGGCUGUGGUCACAAAGCCUUGGAGGUUCAAGUCCUCUCGUCCGCA